This is a long non-coding RNA of Lineus longissimus, 2418 nucleotides long. RefSeq lists it as uncharacterized. The record is from RefSeq and is a predicted model, not a curated record. The transcript has 3 exons. NCBI's taxonomy places the organism in Eukaryota, Metazoa, Nemertea, Pilidiophora, Heteronemertea, Lineidae.
GAUUUUAGCCACCGUCCUACCUUGGUCCAUGGUGUACGGAAUUUCCGCUCAUGCUUUUUAAACACUGGUGGCAUCCUUGAUGAUGUUGAUUUCAUCCAGACCAUGGCGGAGAAAGUCCAAGGCAAGGACUGUGUUUAUGUUUUCGCACGCUUGCUCUUUUGACGAUUGGUCCGAUAACGAAUGGAAUGCCUGUACUCCUCAAUGGAAUCUGUCGAACGCCAGUGAUGAUCGGGAAUGGGCGUCCCUCCUGUUGGUCGAUUCCUCCAAAACCUGGGAAAUGAUUCAAAGCAGUGGGCACAAUACUGAAUGAUGAUAUGGCUCCUGACACGAAAUCACCCGAGCACAAUCUGGCACCAGACGCACAACUGCGCUCCUGUGGACGAGAUUCGGGAGAAACCAAGGUGAAAUCGCCGCCGUCGAUUAGGUCGGAGUACCACGAAUCAUGCUAAAGGCAAGACAAUACAUUGUAUACACUUGUAAAUCUUCUUGUCAAACACCAGUUACACCUGUAAUAGUUAUGCUGAACUUUUUCAAUGUUGCUCAGCGUCUUUUAGAGUAAGCCCAGAGCAGCCCUUUUCCUAAUGAUGCUGCCUUACGCCAUGGAGGUAUUAUUACUUAAUAAUACCUCCGUGCUUACGCCAAUUUGAAAUUCCGCGUCAAAGACUCGAUGAAUUCUUCAUCUGAAGUGGGUCAUCAAUAAGCGCAGAGAGCUGCAUUAACGUGACAAGUGUAACGUUGUUUGUUCUCAUGCAUAACCUGAUAAUCAACAUUGUCACAUGAAAUUGUGGUAAUUUAAACACAAACGCUUGGCAAAAAAGAAAAAAAGCAAUGGUACUUUAAAGCACAAAACAUUUAGAAGGAUGGAUUUUUGCACACUAUUGUACUGAAUAACUGGCAGAUUUCAGAAGCGAGAGUGGAUGAAAUGUAAUCUUUGUUGAAGUUUUCAAUCAGUUUGGUGCCUUAGCUUCAAAUUGUGAUUAUCAGGUUCUGUAUGGGUCAUUGAUUUGUUGCUUUCGGACAAGUUCAAGAAUCGCGACAUCUCAAUUUUGAAUUUUUACUAAUUCUGGCUUUCGAUAAAAAAUUCUGAAUAUUUGAUGUUAUUUUUAUCAAACCAUAUUUGAAAAAAAAUUCAUUGAAAAGGUUUUAACAAAACGAAAAAUACAAACAUUGAACAGUUUCUGCAGGAAACCGGACAUUCUUUUUGGUUUACCUUCCUUCAGCUAAUUUGUUUAGACUUUCUUUAAAGGCUCUUCCCUAAUAAAAAUGCUUGAGACGUUAUGUUAAAAUUCCGAAUCAUAAAAAAAGUGUUCGGACAGGAUUCGAACCCAAGUCCUCCAGGUCAAAAGUCCGACGCUCUAACCACUAGACCACCAAAACACCCUCUGAUCUGGCUGGUUUAUUAGAGAGUCACUGAAAAUAAUAGGCACUUCUUUGUUGGCGAACGUUCACGUAGUCGUUGUUCAAUUGAUUAUACCUAUUACGGGCCACAGUGCAAUCCUGUGUGCAAGUACAAUAGAUGUGUUGUGUCCCGUAAUCUGUACAUUCAAUUGAAUGACGGUCGUCGUUCCUCGAACAAUGAUAGGCCAAGAGAAUGGAUUGCAUUGGGAUAAUGAUUUGUAAAAUUUGUUUUGAAAUUCAAAUCGACCAAGUUCACCCUUUAAUUUAGAAAUUCUGACUGGAUCGGGAAAAGGGGAAUAUUUCUGAUACACCUUAUACUGAUAUACAUUGUAUUAUGUGAAUGCCAUAUCUUCUGUAGUGAACAACUCUAGGCUUAAAUGGGACUAAAAGGCAGGACCAAUGGGGUCUUUUUUUACCUCUUUGUGACAAGCAUUCACAAUUACAUGGAGUGGGAUAGCUUAGUCUGGUUAUGUAUUCCAUAUUCCUCGUGCCAGACUGAUACUGCCCCCAAACGAGACUUGCUCCUGCCUAUAGCCUCCCCUUAAACUGCUGCUGUACGAAGCUGUUUCUUUAGAAUAUCAAUAUGAAUUCUCGCCGCCAUACGAUAUAUGUCCAUCAUGAAAAUUCAAUCACUUUCUAGAGUGUCCUUAAGAAACAAUUUCUUAGAGUUGGGCAGCAAUACAUUGUGCAACAUUGGAUUUAAAUGGAUUAAACUGAUUCAGACUAUGUAAGAAAUACUCUAAUCUCACUUCUAUAAGACCAUCUUAUCGAUCGUUAUUAUCAAUUUUUCAGUGCCGGCUACCCGGUGUUCGGUAUGGCUGAAUCAUGGGGGGAGGUGCUAGUGUAGACCUCCCCAGAAAAACUAAAGCUUAAAAAUGCCUUUCUACCAUUUUGAUUGGGAGAUUGUGUUGAAAUAUGUAAAUAAUGGUCUUAUACAUGUGAUUUUACAGCAUUACGCCUCAUAAUGCAUCUGUGAAACGCAGAAAUUUAUAACAAUGUAUGUAAUAUAUGAUUGCGUAG